CCUACGGGAGGCUGCAGUGGGGAAUAUUGGACAAUGGGGGCAACCCUGAUCCAGCCAUGCCGCGUGUGUGAAGAAGGCCCUCGGGUUGUAAAGCACUUUCAGUGAGGAAGAACGCCUGGUGGUUAAUACCCAUCAGGAAAGACAUCACUCACAGAAGAAGCACCGGCUAACUCCGUGCCAGCAGCCGCGGUAAUACGGAGGGUGCGAGCGUUAAUCGGAAUUACUGGGCGUAAAGCGCGCGUAGGUGGCUUGAUAAGCCGGUUGUGAAAGCCCCGGGCUCAACCUGGGAACGGCAUCCGGAACUGUCAAGCUAGAGUGCAGGAGAGGAAGGUAGCAUUCCCGGUGUAGCGGUGAAAUGCGUAGAGAUCGGGAGGAAUACCAGUGGCGAAGGCGGCCUUCUGGACUGACACUGACACUGAGGUGCGAAAGCGUGGGUAGCAAACAGGAUUAGAUACCCUUGUAGUC
RNAcentral lists this ribosomal RNA (465 nucleotides) under Vreelandella stevensii. RNAcentral's name for it is "partial 16S ribosomal RNA". It matches the Rfam family "Bacterial small subunit ribosomal RNA", at positions 338 to 795 of the family's 1533-position model. Lineage: Bacteria; Pseudomonadati; Pseudomonadota; Gammaproteobacteria; Oceanospirillales; Halomonadaceae. The record is from RNAcentral.